UAAAAACAAUGGUCGGGGUUUCUAUAUUUAUGAGAAAGGAAGCAGACCAAAGCCCGAUCCUUCAGUUUUACCAAUUCUGGAGGAGUCUAGGCGCAUUGCCAACAUUAUGCCCAAUGGAAAGCCUAUUUCCAUUUCUGAUCAGCAAAUUUUGGAAAUGGUACUCUUUCCUGUGGUAAACGAGGGAUGUCGAGUGGUGGAAGAAGGAAUUGUCAUUAGGCCGUCUG
This 224-nucleotide unclassified non-coding RNA is filed under the name Hevea brasiliensis (rubber tree). Lineage: Eukaryota; Viridiplantae; Streptophyta; Magnoliopsida; Malpighiales; Euphorbiaceae. The record is from RNAcentral.